GCCAGAAUCACUCUGCCCGACUCUUAGUCGAUCAGUGUGCUCGAUCAGUGGUUUUCAGUGGCGCGCCCGUCCGUUCUGCCGGCCAGCAUGCUUGUGAAAAUAAACAAUCCUUUCCUAACAUUUUUUCCCUUCAAAAUCACUCCAAUCGUUCGUUUCGUCUGACCCAAGCUAAUCGGAAAGUAGUCAUUUAACCCCUACAGUCUACUCGAGGAUCUGGCCGCCGGCGCAACGUUCCGGCGGGGAUCUCGCGAGACGGGGGCACCGGAUUGGGCAAGCGGACCGGCGAAGCUCCAGUUCGGCAGUAGUUGCGCCACCGGCACCGGCCGGGUUACGCCACCGGUACGACACGGCGCGGACCCCGGCCGCGUCCACGUCCACACCGGUGUCGGUGACGCGACGAGAACCGGGCAUCGGGGAUCGGGAGGAGUAAAACCAGUGGCCUGACCUUGGGAUCCGAAGCGACAAUUUUUAUCGGUCAAGGUUCCGCCGGGAAGCACACUGCAUCAAGUGAAAUGAAUGAAGUGGUUUAGCGCCGCCGCCGCUACGUUGCCGCUCGAGCGAGCGUCGCGACGCUCAGGAAGCGUCGGCCGAGGAUCCGGAGAUCGGAAGUGAAAUUUCAUUUUGGACCACUGGACAAGGUAAGAAUCAUAGCGUCAUUAUUAUUAUUUUCUCAUCA
This 676-nucleotide long non-coding RNA is filed under the name Bemisia tabaci. RNAcentral describes it as "lncRNA ENSSSA3NGG006774". The record is from RNAcentral. Lineage: Eukaryota; Metazoa; Arthropoda; Insecta; Hemiptera; Aleyrodidae.